AUGACGGCCAGGGGGCCCACCACCUGUCCACGAGGGUGGGGGGCACGCCUGCCCCCCUACCUCGUGGGCCCCUGGAGCUCCUCCGACUACAACUACAACUCUAUAUAUUGUGUUUCGGGGAGAAAAAUCAGAGAGAAGGAUUCAUCGCAUUUUACGAUACAGAGCCACCACCAAGCCCUAAAACCUCUCGGGAGGGCUGAUCUGGAGUCCGUUCGGGGCUCCGAAGAGGGGAAUCCGUCGCCAUCGUCAUCAUCAACCAUCCUCCAUCACCAAUUUCAUGAUGCUCACCGCCGUGCGUGA
This 300-nucleotide ribosomal RNA is filed under the name Triticum aestivum (bread wheat). RNAcentral describes it as "partial small subunit ribosomal RNA". The record is from RNAcentral. Lineage: Eukaryota; Viridiplantae; Streptophyta; Magnoliopsida; Poales; Poaceae.